GGCCGCCGUGGCGGGGAUCUUCACCAGCAGGUUGUCGCGGGCCACCGCGGCACGCAGGCGGCGGGCCGCGGCGACGGUGCCGGCCUCGUCGUCGGCCA
Molecule: transfer RNA, 98 nt
Filed under: Zoogloea ramigera
Lineage: Bacteria; Pseudomonadati; Pseudomonadota; Betaproteobacteria; Rhodocyclales; Zoogloeaceae
Description: tRNA-Arg
Source: RNAcentral